Molecule: long non-coding RNA, 4385 nt
Organism: Lolium perenne
Lineage: Eukaryota; Viridiplantae; Streptophyta; Magnoliopsida; Poales; Poaceae
Source: RefSeq, a predicted model, not a curated record
GCCCUCCCGGCCCGGCGUUGGCGCAUCGUGUGCUCCUCCCCAAUCCCCGCCUCUCCUCCUCUCCCCAAUCCCCGCCUCCCCUGCCUUGAGCCGCCUCUUCUCCUCUCCCCAAUCCCCGCUCCCCAUUCGCCGCCUUGAGCAGCGCCGGCGGUUGAUGCAGGAGAGAGAGGAGCAGGUGCACCAUCUCGGCGACCUCCUCCGCGGCGGCGAGCAAGGCGCGAGUGACGGGCCACCGCGGGGGCGGCGCGACGGCGGGCUUGCCCUUGAACCGUGCGUCGACGUGGCGCACGAGGGUGUCGACGGCGCCGCAGAGCUCCGGGCCGGCGGCGGAGAGGCGGAGCACGGGGCGGCCAAGAGGAGCGGCGCCGGCAUGGUCACGCUACGCCCCCGUUCUGGACCUCCUCGCGCCGUUCUGGAGGUGGAGCAGAUGGGUGCUCUAGGGGCGGUGCUGGGACAGAGGUGGAGGAGCAGCACGGGGCAGCUCUGGGGCGGAAGUGGAGCAGAAAGGGGCGACCAUGGGGGCGGCGCUAGGUGGAGAGGGGCUUGGCUAAGAAUUAGUCCACCUACAGGUUUUAGUUUAUCUAUGCCUACAAGGUGUUUGACAAAAAUCCUGUAAGGGAGAGAUGAACCAAAUCUGAUAUUGCUCUGUUGUUUACUCAAGAAUUUCGUUUUUCCAGAAAUUUAGUGAAGGCCACAAUAGAUUUAUCGCCGGGUUUUUACGUGCUGCUAUGAUUCUAUCUUACUUUGCCGCCUCGCUGAUAAGGAUUAAGCCGUCUCUCCGAUAAAGGUAUAUGGCGUGACCGGCUGGAUGGACUUGCAGGUAUUUGAUGAUUUGUUCCUAUACAACUUUGUUGCAUUUGAGUACAGUUUAGUCUAAGACAAACUAUUUAUAAUUCAUGGUAAUCUAAUCGAUGCGCAUGCUUCUUAUAUGCAACGAUAUUCAAUGUUUUCUCUACCUUGUAUUAUUAAUCUAAAUAAAAGCAUGGAUCAGCAAUUACUUUGACAUGUAGUUUUGAGGCGUCUGUUUUGUUGCAUUUCCAGUAGUCUCUUGCAGGUAACCAUCUAUCUCACUCCUCUCCUUUUCAUCUUUGUAUAUUUAUAUUUUGUUUUAACUUUUACAAGGUGUUCGAUGAAAAAUCCUAUCAGGUUAUAGCGGAAGAUUAAUCAAUGUAAUGUGAUUUUUAAAAUUGUGUUUGUGCAAUGAAUAUACAGAUUGGCAUUCAUGUAUGUGCGAUUUUUUUCCUUUUCAGAUCCAUUGUAUCUGAAAUUCGACUAUUUAAUGAUUUAUACUUUUUAUGCUGGAAUUUGUCAUCGUACACAAAUAUUCAAUAGCAAUACCAAUGUAUGUAUUUUCUACAACUGAAAUCUUAUUCCAAGUUCUGAAUUUUGUUGGCAUCAGAACCAUAUUUGCUAGAGGGCGACUCUGAAGGCUGCAGCCAUAGAGAUGAACAAGUACAAGGAGCAAGGUUAUCUCUCUCUCUCUCUCUCUCUCUCUCUCUCUCUCUCUCUCUCUCAUCACACACAGAUCCUCAUCUUUGAUUUUGCAUUCAUUUACUAUUGUUUUGUAAAUUGUGUUUGUCCAUUGAAUGUGAAGACUGACAUUCAUGUACGUGCUAUUUCUUGCAUUGCUCUAGAGAUUUGGUUUGGUUAGUUAUUCUCUAUUCUUGUGGCAGACAUAUAUUAUUUUUUAUUCCAAAUUAUUAGUGGACAAUCAGUGGAUAACAUAAUUUAUUUACCUCAAAGUAUGACUUGGCCAGUGAUCUCGUGUCGUAUUACAGUUUUUUGCAUUGUUGAUAAACUCGAUCUUGUUCGUGAAAUCUUUUGUUCGAGCCAUUUAUUGAUUGAAUAUGUUAUAUAUACAUGACUGGAGGAUGGACACUAAGUAAUUCAUAUGCUGUGCUAAACUUGGUUAGUCAUACUUACAAAGAAUUAGCUUCUGCUAAAAGUACUGCACGGCGUCAUGCCAUCCUUAUCUUUAUACAUGCCAAGAAGUGGGACUAAGCUCCAGGCGAGAUCACCGGUAGAUUCAGAUGUGACACCCUUUCCUUCAACUCUUUCUGAAACAUCCAUUGAAAAAUGAGGACCGAUGGAGACAUAUUUAAAUAAGUACUUCAUCACUCGUGUUUUAUUACGCCACUCAACAUUAAUGUGGCCCCGAUGUUUUUUAGCCAGUCCCUGUUGUAUGGAACUACCUGCCGAUUAUCAAGUCACUUUCCAUUCUUAUAUACAAAGCACCCAUUGUCACUGCAUCUAUAAAUAGCAGAACCAUUCCACUGUUAUAUGUAUCAUACUCAGUUUCUUCUGUAUUGUAUAGCCUAUUGUUGCUAAUUUAGGUACAUCAAACGUUUUAUAUUUUUUUGAUCUUCAAUUUAUCAGUCAGCUAAUGGACCUGAGAUCAUAUAGGUAAUCUACUCCUGUAACUAUUCUUCAUGUGCUCAGGAUUUGCUUAUUUGUUGUUUAUCAUCAACUUUUAUAAACCUUUUGGAUUUGCUUUUGUUUACCAGCAGCUUCACGGAUGUCCAGAAAUGCUCUGUUUCAAGUGCUGCUGGUUGUCACUGAGGCCAAAUUGCCGAAGCAGCAUGUUGUGCCCAGGUCCAUGUUGUAGGUUCUUUUGGUAUGCCUUUCUGUUAAGAACAUGAGUAAUUUCAAACUAUGGAUCCUUCAAUGCAUAUUUGAGAAGUGUGUCCCUAUUUGGUAUGUUGCCUUUGCUCAUGUUCCUUCUCUAAGUGAGUAAUCUCAUAUUCGGGAUCUUUCUAUGAAUAUUUCAAGUUUGGUGCCAAAUGUUUGCCUUUGCUCAGCCUUUCUCAUCAUUUUUGUUUUUCCUUAUCAGGGCGUGAAACAUUCAUCAUCAUGGAAUCCAGUUUAUGCAUUCUCUUUCUGAUGGCACCUAAGACCUAACGUAUCAUAAAUAAUAAAAUAAUCUGAAGUCCUUCACACACCUUGGCUGCGUGUAUCUGCCCAUCUUUCUUUUAUUCAGAACAAACAGAGCAUCGAUAUAGCUCAUAGCUAAAUCCAAACACACAACACGACAAUACCUAGACCUGGCACUGAAAAUUAGAAAGAAAGCACACCACAAAGUAAUGGUAAUAGUUCAGCUUUUGGUCUAAAACAACAAACAAAAUUGCUUUGAUACAAAUUUAUGAUGUAUGAUGAUUAUACCUACAACGUUCUCCUUAUUUAUUUGCUUCAAAGAUUACAGUGUUUAUCUUUAAGAUGUAGACUUUAUUUACACAUCAUUGACUAUUUAAUUUGUCUUUCUCUGCUACUCUCUUCCAAUUGUACAUGCCAUCUCCACAACAGAGGUUACAUAGAGUGUUGGAAAUCAUGCAUGCUGUCACCCCGCCAUCAUCAGCCAUCUAGCGCUACAGCCCUCUUGGCCCGUCUAACGUGAGCAUUAGCGGCCUCCAUAGUACCAGCAUCGGGAUCGUCAUCUAGGUUUUUGCCUACUAUCUCUAGACCGUAUGUUGCGCCACAAUGGACUGUCGAGAGAUCAGCGGCAGCGAGAUACAGCCUACAGGCCCAUUAGUUCGAGGAGAUUGGUCCCUAACAACUGAAGCAGCCAUUCAGUUGGCCUGAAGGACAUCAACAACAAUGGGAGCAUUUGUGUCGACAUAUUGAAGGACGAAAGGAGCUCUACUCUAACUAUUUCCAAGCCAAUGAAGGCAGAAUAGGGAAGGCUUCCAGUUCAGUUACUUCCAGAGAUGCAUGGUUGAUAAUUGAUGAGUUCUCAAGGCCCAGUUCACUUACUUACAAAGCUGACUAAUAAAUAAGGAGUUUUGUAAAGUGUUUUUCAUCAUAAAUUAGGAGUUUUGCAAGUGGUUUUCAUCAUAACAUGAGAUUAAAGCAUGUGGACCGUCCGAUUUUUAAGCAUUAGCAAGGGGUUGUGGCCUUGUGGGUGACACCGUAUGGGCAGCACGAUUAUUCUUCACCGAUCAGUUUUGCAUUUGUUCAAUAUGACUUGAAAAAAGAUAUACUUGCAGAUAUGGAACAAACCCUGUCGAAGACGUGCCUGAUGCCGAUGGCAAGAAAAACAUCAGUUGAUUCCCCGUUAGGAAAGUUGUCUAAUAGGUGACACGGGCCGCCGAUAGUUCUCUUCCAGCUAUCUAGGUGCUGUAGAAUUUUUACCGUUCCACUCUUCUCUUUUGCUAUGUAUUGGACAUAUGAAUCAACCGUACGAUGCAAUAGAUGUCUUCUGCAUCUCUUCUAGCUGGUGGCUUGACCCUUCCGUGUCCUUCUUUCUGUACAAUUGUGUUUGCUUCAUGUUGCUAUCUCCACUCUUAUUUUUUACUGCUUUGUACUUUCUACUAGCUGCCAUACUUGGUUUGGAGAAAAAGACUUUGUAUUGAAAUGGAUUAUCAUAUUGGCAGCUUUUUUUAUCACACUUA